RNAcentral lists this ribosomal RNA (492 nucleotides) under uncultured bacterium. RNAcentral's name for it is "partial 16S ribosomal RNA". It matches the Rfam family "Bacterial small subunit ribosomal RNA", at positions 29 to 507 of the family's 1533-position model. The record is from RNAcentral.
AGUGAACGCUGGCGGUAGGCCUAACACAUGCAAGUCGAACGGCAGCACAGUAAGAGCUUGCUCUUACGGGUGGCGAGUGGCGGACGGGUGAGGAAUACAUCGGAAUCUACUUUUUCGUGGGGGAUAACGUAGGGAAACUUACGCUAAUACCGCAUACGACCUACGGGUGAAAGCAGGGGAUCUUCGGACCUUGCGCGAUUGAAUGAGCCGAUGUCGGAUUAGCUAGUUGGCGGGGUAAAGGCCCACCAAGGCGACGAUCCGUAGCUGGUCUGAGAGGAUGAUCAGCCACACUGGAACUGAGACACGGUCCAGACUCCUACGGGAGGCAGCAGUGGGGAAUAUUGGACAAUGGGCGCAAGCCUGAUCCAGCCAUACCGCGUGGGUGAAGAAGGCCUUCGGGUUGUAAAGCCCUUUUGUUUGGAAAGAAAAGCAGCAGGUUAAUACCCUGCUGUUCUGACGGUACCCAAAGAAUAAGCACCGGCUAACUUCGUG